RNAcentral lists this microRNA (21 nucleotides) under Macaca mulatta (Rhesus monkey). RNAcentral's name for it is "mml-miR-1271-3p". Lineage: Eukaryota; Metazoa; Chordata; Mammalia; Primates; Cercopithecidae. The record is from miRBase by way of RNAcentral.
GUGCCUGCUAUGUGCCGGGCA